GACGAACGCUGGCGGCGUGCUUAACACAUGCAAGUCGAACGGAAAGGCCCUGCUUGCAGGGUACUCGAGUGGCGAACGGGUGAGUAACACGUGGGUGAUCUGCCCUGCACUUCGGGAUAAGCCUGGGAAACUGGGUCUAAUACCGGAUAGGAGCCAAUUUUAGUGUGAUGGUUGGAAAGUUUUUUCGGUGUAGGAUGAGCUCGCGGCCUAUCAGCUUGUUGGUGGGGUAAUGGCCUACCAAGGCGGCGACGGGUAGCCGGCCUGAGAGGGUGGACGGCCACAUUGGGACUGAGAUACGGCCCAGACUCCUACGGGAGGCAGCAGUGGGGAAUAUUGCACAAUGGGCGCAAGCCUGAUGCAGCGACGCCGCGUGGGGGAUGACGGCCUUCGGGUUGUAAACUCCUUUCGCUAGGGACGAAGCUUUUUGUGACGGUACCUAGAUAAGAAGCACCGGCUAACUACGUG
RNAcentral lists this ribosomal RNA (465 nucleotides) under uncultured bacterium. RNAcentral's name for it is "partial 16S ribosomal RNA". It matches the Rfam family "Bacterial small subunit ribosomal RNA", at positions 28 to 507 of the family's 1533-position model. The record is from RNAcentral.